This 467-nucleotide ribosomal RNA is filed under the name uncultured organism. RNAcentral's name for it is "bacterial SSU rRNA". It matches the Rfam family "Bacterial small subunit ribosomal RNA", at positions 28 to 507 of the family's 1533-position model. The record is from RNAcentral.
GACGAACGCUGGCGGCGCGCCUAACACAUGCAAGUCGAACGGAGGAAGCAGCUUCGGUUGUUUUCUGAGUGGCGGACGGGUGAGUAACGCGUGAGGAACCUGCCCUACAGAGGGGGAUAACGACUGGAAACGGCCGCUAAUACCGCAUAACAUAUAACUCCGGCAUCGGAGGGAUAUCAAAGGAGAGAUCCGCUGAAGGAUGGACUCGCGUCCGAUUAGGUAGUUGGCGGGGUAAAGGCCCACCAAGCCCGCGAUCGGUAGCCGGACUGAGAGGUUGGCCGGCCACAUUGGGACUGAGAUACGGCCCAGACUCCUACGGGAGGCAGCAGUGGGGGAUAUUGCACAAUGGAGGAAACUCUGAUGCAGCGACGCCGCGUGAGGGAAGAAGGUCUUCGGAUUGUAAACCUUUGUCUUCAGGGACGAAGAAAGUGACGGUACCUGAGGAGGAAGCCACGGCUAACUACGUG